GCUGGAAGCUCGUCUAACCGCAGGACGGCGGACUCUGGAUCUGUCAAUCGGGGUUCGAAUCCCCGACUUCCAGCA
This 75-nucleotide transfer RNA is filed under the name Acidobacteriaceae bacterium. RNAcentral describes it as "tRNA-Gln". It matches the Rfam family "tRNA". From Rfam's summary of the family: Transfer RNA (tRNA) molecules are approximately 80 nucleotides in length. Their secondary structure includes four short double-helical elements and three loops (D, anti-codon, and T loops). The record is from RNAcentral. Lineage: Bacteria; Pseudomonadati; Acidobacteriota; Terriglobia; Terriglobales; Acidobacteriaceae.